This is an RNA transcript of Oncorhynchus kisutch (coho salmon), 3127 nucleotides long. It is a transcript of the gene named grancalcin, with no coding region annotated. The record is from RefSeq and is a predicted model, not a curated record. NCBI's taxonomy places the organism in Eukaryota, Metazoa, Chordata, Actinopteri, Salmoniformes, Salmonidae. The transcript is spliced from 7 exons.
AUGAGUCUCUGCUGCUUUAACUGUUGCAGUAAAGGGUGUGUUGAGUGAAUGUGACAUUGCGGGGGGCCAUGGUGACUGCCGGCCCUCCCUGGAAGCUCAGUGUGCCACCGUUUAGGUCUAACUGGCAGCCUGUGCUCCUAAGAAAGUCCAACCCCAGGAUACAAGGGUCCUGCACAGCCGCCACCCACCCAGGAUGACGCACAGUCCUGCCCCCUACUGUUAGAGUCAUUAUUCCCUUCCUUUUCAUGGGUGCCAGCUCACCUGUGACUGUGCGGAGCUGCACAGUUGUGGGCUCAAACUGAGUCCAACCUGGCACAAUAUCCGGCCUCACCAGGGUUACUGUGGACCCAGUGUCCACCAGGGCAGAGCAAGGCACCCCCUCCACAGUGACAUGACCAAAGUUCCCAAAACAGGUUCUGCCUACCACAACAACAGGCCCCAUCCGCUUGCCCUUGUCUGCUAAUGGGGGAAGUGGAGCCUUGCUUCCCUGUCUGUGCCGGUGAGCUCAUCCUGAAGAUGAUGGUGGUUGGGAAAGAAAGCCAGGGGUCCACACUAGAACAUUCCUCUUUGGAUUACUUCUGUUCUAUUCUGUUCUAUUUGAAUGGCCAGCAGGCCUAUCUUCUCGUCAGCGAAGUACCAAGAAUGCUUCUGAAGCUAAUUGAAUGCUGUGAGCUUCCUCAUUGGCUAUCUUCACUAUCAGUCGAUUAGCCAAUUCGAGCUUCCGCCUUCUCGCAACACUUUCUUGGAAAAGAUGGUUUCCACUAGAUAGCACAGCCACAAAGUAAGAGUUUACUAUUUCGUAAAAAUGUAUAAAAAUACAAAUUAGAUUUUUGGUCUUAAUUUAAGGUUAGGUUUAUGCAUAAUGUUAGCAAUGUGUUUAAGAUUAGGGUUAAGAUAACGUUUAGGUUUAAAAGCACAUUUUAAGAAGAGAAAUUGUCGAAAUGGGCGGGGUUUACGACAUUGUGGCUGGAGUAACUAGUGACGACCGGAAAUUAUGUACACAUGCCGUUGUCGCAGUGUAUUUCAAGUAACAGGUUCGGUUUUGCAUUGCGUUUACUGACUUUUUUUACAUCGAAACAUUUCACUGCAUCGAAUCGUUUUGUGGCAAUUCUUUAUAGUGUACAUAUGGCUUAUCCAGGAUAUGGCGGGUAUGGAGGACCAAUGCAAGGCAUGCAACCCCAGGGUAUGCCCAUGCAGGGUGGACCCAUGGGAGGCCCACCCCAGGCAGGCUACCCCCAGAAUGGUGGAGGCUACCCUGGUACCUUUGCCGCUCCUCCUCAGCAGCCUGUUAAUGACCCCAUGUGGGGGUACUUUACUACCAUAGCAGGACAGGAUGGGGAGAUUGAUGCAGAGGAGCUUCAGAGGUGUCUUACACAGACUGGUAUCAGUGGCACCUAUACUCCCUUCAGUUUGGAGACAUGUAGAAUCAUGAUUGCAAUGCUGGAUAGAGACAUGACCGGAAAGCUGGGCUUCAAUGAGUUCAAGGAGCUGUUUGCUGCCUUGAGUGGCUGGAAGCAGAACUUCAUGAUGUUUGACCAGGACCGGAGUGGCACGGUGGAACCCCAUGAGAUGACCCAGUCCAUCUCCGCUAUGGGCUACAGGAUCAGCCCGCAAGCUCUGAACGCUGUCAUCAAACGCUACAGCAAGGCUGGCCGGAUCUAUUUUGACGACUAUGUGGCAUGUGCUGUGAAGCUUCGCGCCCUCACAGGUAAGAUGCUGACUUGGAGGCUGCACGUGAUGAUGUUUAACCUUUUAUUCAACAGCAUUUCAAAUUUCCUCACAAUCCAGAGCUAUGGGUUUCGUUAUAAAAUCUGUCAUUCACUAACAUUUUACUCAUUCAAGUCUUUUGCGGUGUAAUCUGUCUUGUUUUGUCCUGGUCUCUUGUGCAUGUACAUUCGUAGGCUCAUUAGCACAGUGUCUCGCUGGGUAUUGUAGUCCAAUGAAUGGCAUUCAAAUUUCACCUCUACACUGCCAUCUUUACUAUGUGUCUCCACAGAGAGCUUCAGGAGGAGAGACCAGAUGCAGCAGGGGGCUGUCAACUUCCAAUACGAUGACUUUAUCCUGUGUACAAUGGCCAUCUGAGUGGAGUGGAGUGGAGUGGCCUGGCCUGGCCCGGGCCCAUCCCGUGCUGGAGUCAGAGGGGCACUUCAACCGGCAGUCUGGGGCUCGCUGACCACUUCCCCUAAAUAAUGGGAAGGCACCAAUCAAUAUUAGCCAAUAAUUCUUAGGUCGAUUCCCAUGACCAACUUAAAAUGGGGAAGAAACUGUUUGUUUGCCAUAAUGUCUGCCUUGUACACAAUACAGGAAUGUGCAGAUUUGCCAGAUAACACAUGGCGUGUUUCUAAAUGUAUCUGCUUGUUGUAAAUUCUGUUGCUAACUGACAGUGGUAGGUUUAAACAAAGAAAGGGAUGGCGAAGCUGUUACUGAUUUUUACCAUGGUGACGUUUGUGCCAUUACAAUCUCGGAUCGUCGCUUUCCAGAUUCAUCCCCACCACUGUAUAAGUUGUUUUUGUAACCACUAUAUAUAGGUGUGAAUUACUUUUACAUUAAACACUCCAUACAUUUUGAAGUAUAGAUAUAUAAUAUUUUUAUUACAAAUAUACAGUUUUUUUUUAUUUUUUAAGGAUAACUAUAUGCGUCUCUUGAUUUGAAUGAAAUGUGGCCUAACAUAAUACACAAAUUAAACAUUAGGGCGUCCACAAAUGUAUGAAUAACCUGCACUGUGUUGUAAACAUGCACUGUAAUUCCUUUGCAAAGAAAAGCAUGCAUUAACUACCACCAACAAUUACAUGUACAACUUUUUUUUUGUGAUAACCUGCAUUUUUAUAGUUCAGGGUGAAAUAUUUAUCAGACAUGUAGUUAAGUGCAUUGUGACCAUUGGGGCAUUCAUCAGUGAUAUAGGUGUUAUUCACAACACAAUAAACUCAGUUUGUAGGCAGUAUGCAUUCUGUUUAUUAAUUUAUACAAUUACACAAAUGGUUUUCAUCAAUAUGUACACAAUAUAUUACAUUUCUUUAAAUACAGCAUAUUCAAGGACAAACAUUCAUAUCAGCUGUUAAGUGUUGCAUUGUAAAAAAUACAGUGGCAAACAUUUAAAAAAAAUGCAUAAAAACAAUUGUGAAAUUUC